Molecule: ribosomal RNA, 500 nt
Filed under: uncultured bacterium
Lineage: Bacteria
Description: partial 16S ribosomal RNA
Rfam family: Bacterial small subunit ribosomal RNA
Source: RNAcentral
AUUGAACGCUGGCGGCAUGCUUUACACAUGCAAGUCGAACGGUAACAGGGUGCUUGCACCGCUGACGAGUGGCGAACAGGUGAGUAAUGCGUCGGAACGUGCCGAGUAGUGGGGGAUAACGCAGCGAAAGUUGUGCUAAUACCGCAUACGUACUGAGGUAGAAAGUGGGGGACCUUCGGGCCUCACGCUACUCGAGCGGCCGACGGCUGAUUAGCUAGUAGGUGAGGUAAAGGCUCACCUAGGCGACGAGCAGUAGCGGGUCUGAGAGGAUGAUCCGCCACACUGGGAAUGAGACACGGCCCACACUCCUACGGGAGUCAGCAGUGGGGAAUUUUGGACAAUGGGCGAAAGCCUGAUCCAGCCAUGCCGCGUGUCUGAAGAAGGCCUUCGGGUUGUAAAGGACUUUUGUCAGGGAGGAAAUCCCUAGUGCUAAUAACACUGGGGGAUGACAGUACCUGAAGAAUAAGCACCGGCUAACUACGUGCCAGCCGCCGCGGUAA